AGGUGGCGGAUGGGAGACGUCAUGCGAAGCCCCGUGGUGGUCGUGGUGAUGACCUGCAUGUCCACUAGCAAUGGAGCCAAAGAAAACUGGGCAGAUGAAGUCUUCAAUAGGAGCAAAAGUCUAACAGAGAAUUCACCAUUAGCUACUUACAAGGACAUAUGAAGAAUUUCAUUCGUUUCUGGCCUCCAGACCCCACGCAAAAGUUGCUCAAAGUUGGACAUCAAAGCAACACCAGAACCUGCAAAACAGUAAAAAGGAACAAAUAAAACCACCACAGCAGAAGAGAGCUUUGCCCUCCCCGUUUCCUAAGGAGAAAGGAUAACCUAAGAGAAACAAGAAGAUCAUAUCUCACUUCCCAAACUUGGAAGUUGUGACCCUGAAGUACCAGUUAACUGCGUCCACUAAGCAGCUUAUCCGUGGUGYGUUCACCUCGGCUUCACUCGCAGCUUCUCCCACCCCAGCCAAGCAGAUCCUUGCUUCRUUAGAGCCCCUCACCUUUGACCCAUCCCGUGGCCAUCAUAACAAAGCAGCCGUGGUGGUGAGCGUGGUGGACCCCCGCUGCAAUUUUGCGGACUCUGACCACCUCCUUCAUCGCCACGAAGACGAGCUUCAUCGGCAGGAAGCUGACACACUUGUAGAAGAGGUUCAUGGGACAGAAGAACAUCAAGUACCUGGAACAAAACCCCCAAAAGUUCAGGGAUCCCUCCCCAUUUGGGAGACACAGGCAGGGUUAAGAAUACYGUGGUGUUAGCCUGAAUUACGUGGGGGAAARGGAAAUGCUGGCAGUGUGGCACAAAAGCACACAUAGAGGAAAUUAACCUUUGAGGAAUCACGCUUAAUUUGUGCGCAUGUCACUAACAUGACCAAAAAUGACCCCCAAACUUCCCUGCCUGCCACUCCUCUACUCUGUGCGGUGUCAAGUGCAGCACAGGCUGCUUUGGGGCUUGGCUGCGGUUCAGCCGUGGCAGCUAUGAAUAGAAAUGCCGUGCGGCUGGCCUGGCCCCAGCACCUCUUCCCAGACACUGGGCAACUGGUCGGACAAACUGGAAACCAGAUCCAGGAACACAAAAGACUCGCAGGCGACUUCAUGCUCCCUCUUCUUGCCCUUGGUUUUUCCAAGCAGGGUAAUACACG
Long non-coding RNA from Nothoprocta perdicaria, 1134 nucleotides. RefSeq lists it as uncharacterized. Lineage: Eukaryota; Metazoa; Chordata; Aves; Tinamiformes; Tinamidae. The transcript has 2 exons. The record is from RefSeq and is a predicted model, not a curated record.